RNAcentral lists this ribosomal RNA (253 nucleotides) under uncultured bacterium. RNAcentral describes it as "partial 16S ribosomal RNA". It matches the Rfam family "Bacterial small subunit ribosomal RNA", at positions 524 to 776 of the family's 1533-position model. The record is from RNAcentral.
UACGAAGGGUGCUAGCGUUGCUCGGAAUCACUGGGCGUAAAGCGCACGUAGGCGGCUUGUUAAGUCAGGGGUGAAAUCCUGGAGCUCAACUCCAGAACUGCCUUUGAUACUGGCGAGCUUGAGUUCGGGAGAGGUGAGUGGAACUGCGAGUGUAGAGGUGAAAUUCGUAGAUAUUCGCAAGAACACCAGUGGCGAAGGCGGCUCACUGGCCCGAUACUGACGCUGAGGUGCGAAAGCGUGGGGAGCAAACAGG